Molecule: ribosomal RNA, 608 nt
Filed under: uncultured bacterium
Lineage: Bacteria
Description: bacterial SSU rRNA
Rfam family: Bacterial small subunit ribosomal RNA
Source: RNAcentral
AGAGUUUGAUCCUGGCUCAGGAUGAACGCUAGCGGCAGGCCUAACACAUGCAAGUCGAGGGGUAACGAUGUCUUCGGACAGUCGACGACCGGCGCACGGGUGAGUAACGCGUAUACAACCUACCUUUAACAGGAGGAUAGCCCCGAGAAAUCGGGAUUAACACUCCAUAGUAUCUUAAUACCGCAUGGUAUAGAGAUUAAAACUCCGGUGGUUAAAGAUGGGUAUGUGUGACAUUAGUUAGUUGGUGAGGUAACGGCUCACCAAGACAUCGAUGUCUAGGGGUUCUGAGAGGAUGAUCCCCCACACUGGUACUGAGACACGGACCAGACUCCUACGGGAGGCAGCAGUGAGGAAUAUUGGUCAAUGGACGCAAGUCUGAACCAGCCAUGCCGCGUGCAGGAUGACGGCCCUAUGGGUUGUAAACUGCUUUUAUUUAGGAAUAACUCCUCGGUCGUGUAUCGAGGCUGAAGGUACUAAAAGAAUAAGCACCGGCUAACUCCGUGCCAGCAGCCGCGGUAAUACGGAGGGUGCAAGCGUUAUCCGGAUUCAUUGGGUUUAAAGGGUUCGCAGGCGGCGUAUUAAGUCAGUGGUGAAAUCCCGAGGCUCAA